AUGGCUUCAUCUGAUUCCAUGACAAGGCCACCGUGUGCUAACCAAGAAGACAUGCUUCACAAGAGGGAGAACAAAUCUUUGGACAAGGUGAAGGAGAAAGAUGUGAAGAUUCCGCCAUGUUGUUGUGGAGAUGUUUGCAAGGUGAAGGUGUCCACCGACAGAAAGAAGUCAUGGACGGAAGGAAGGAGAUAUUUUGUAUGCCCCAACUAUGCUUAUGAUCGUACAUUUCCAACUCACGCCGAUGACCAACCACUGGUAUGCUAG
RNAcentral lists this ribosomal RNA (264 nucleotides) under Triticum aestivum (bread wheat). Its description in RNAcentral is "partial small subunit ribosomal RNA". Lineage: Eukaryota; Viridiplantae; Streptophyta; Magnoliopsida; Poales; Poaceae. The record is from RNAcentral.